AAGAGGAAGAGAAAAUUCAAGAUAGUACAGAUUCCUGAAUACCAGGAGAGGCUGACCUUGAACACCAAGACUCAAGCAAUCCUCCUGCCUCAGCCUUCCAAGUAGCUGGGAUUACAGUGUGGAUGGAAAUUCAUGGGAUGAAAGGGGUUCUGGGGAAGAGGACUGAAUUGUCUACCCAUGCCAAUAACAAGCUGCAGAGCACUGACCAAGUUAUUAUCUUCAACUCUCUCAAAGGGUGAAGAGAGAGAAGCAACAUUGGGUCAACUGGCUUUUUUUAAUCCCUUUCCCUUCUUCAGUUGUGGGCUGGAGAGGGAUGUAAU
This 320-nucleotide long non-coding RNA is filed under the name Callithrix jacchus (white-tufted-ear marmoset). RNAcentral's name for it is "lncRNA (ENSCJAG00000082964.1)". Lineage: Eukaryota; Metazoa; Chordata; Mammalia; Primates; Cebidae. The record is from RNAcentral.